Molecule: long non-coding RNA, 231 nt
Filed under: Elaeis guineensis (African oil palm)
Lineage: Eukaryota; Viridiplantae; Streptophyta; Magnoliopsida; Arecales; Arecaceae
Description: long non-coding RNA (EGUI_LNC048219)
Source: RNAcentral
GCAUUAUAGAUCAUUGGGCUGGUUUGCCAAAAAGGAGGCUGAACAAUGGUUAGGCCAUUGAUGGAAAGCUAACCUAGAGAAAGGCAUGUAAGAUUAAACACAAAGUUAAAAGGUCAUGCUACUUUUAAUAUCAGGUAAUAUAGUUGCAUAAGUAUGAAUGCAAGGCUAAUUAGGUUCAUGCUCUUAAGGAAAGCAAUCUGUUUCUGACUGAUGCUAAUAGUUUUCACCACC